AAAAGGCGGUCAUGCUGAGCUUGUCGAAGCAUCUCUACCGCUUCGUCGCAGUCAUCCAACGAAGCGGUAGAGAUGCUUCGACAAGCUCAGCAUGACAG
Molecule: unclassified non-coding RNA, 98 nt
Filed under: Hymenobacter psychrophilus
Lineage: Bacteria; Pseudomonadati; Bacteroidota; Cytophagia; Cytophagales; Hymenobacteraceae
Description: microRNA mir-598
Source: RNAcentral